RNAcentral lists this ribosomal RNA (508 nucleotides) under Cafius nauticus. RNAcentral's name for it is "partial 16S ribosomal RNA". It matches the Rfam family "Bacterial large subunit ribosomal RNA", at positions 1819 to 2597 of the family's 2925-position model. The record is from RNAcentral. Lineage: Eukaryota; Metazoa; Arthropoda; Insecta; Coleoptera; Staphylinidae.
GUCUUUUUGAUUAUAAUUUAAAGUCUGACCUGCUCGCUGAGGAUUUAAAGGGCCGCAGUAUUUUGACUGUGCGAAGGUAGCAUAAUAAUUAGUUUUUUAAUUGAAAGCUGGAAUGAAUGGUCGAACGAGGAAAUAACUGUCUCUAUGUUAAUUUAUUAGAAUUUUAUCUUUAAGUAAAAAAGCUUAAAUGAUUUUAAAAGACGAGAAGACCCUAUAGAGUUUUAUAAAAUUUAUUUUUAAUCAGUUUUGGGAUUGUUUUUAAUUAACUUUAAAUUUUAUUUUAUUGGGGUGAUAGGGAAAUUUAAUAAACUUUCUUUUUAUUUAAACAUUAAUUUAUGAUUUAUUGAUCCAUGAUUUGUGAUUAUAAGAUUAAAUUACCUUAGGGAUAACAGCGUAAUUUUUCUCGAGAGUUCUAAUCGAAAGAAAAGGUUGCGACCUCGAUGUUGGAUUAAAAUUAAUACUUGGUGUAGGGGCUAGGUAAUUAGGUCUGUUCGACCUUUAAAAUUUU